RNAcentral lists this transfer RNA (83 nucleotides) under Streptomyces subrutilus. It matches the Rfam family "tRNA". Rfam says of the family: Transfer RNA (tRNA) molecules are approximately 80 nucleotides in length. Their secondary structure includes four short double-helical elements and three loops (D, anti-codon, and T loops). Lineage: Bacteria; Bacillati; Actinomycetota; Actinomycetes; Kitasatosporales; Streptomycetaceae. The record is from Rfam by way of RNAcentral.
GCGGUCGUUGCUGAACGGUAUAAGCGGAGGUUUUAGGUGCCUCUGGACGAAAGUCCAUGUGGGUUCGAAUCCCAUCGGCCGCA